CAAGAAACACAAUGAUGACAACCACAUAAAUUAAAAAAGCACAAUGACAUACUAAAACAUCAAAAGUACUGUCCUCAACGCUCUUUCUGGAGUUGGAGAUGGAAAGAAAGUAAAAAUGACAAAAAUGAAAAAUGGCAAUAAUUGGAAUAGAGGAGAAAUAUAUUAAAGACAUUUUUGUAGGAUGGUGGAAUUGUAAUAUCCUUUCUGCUGAUAAAUAGAUCAGAGAAUCUAAACCACUUGUACAAACAAGUAAAUGACAGAAGACAUUCAUGCUCAGAUCUUGUAGCAGCAUCAAAGAAACCCCCAAACCACAUGGGAGAUGACAUUGACACCAGUCCUAAGAUACAACUGGGAGACACGGCCAUUAGAUCUUAUGCAAAAGAGGUUUCUUACAAUGUACAUGGCAAUGAACCCUUGCCAGGGCAUGGAUUUUUCAAAAAAAAUUUUCCUUGUGAGUCUGUGGGAAAUUGUAUUUGUUUGCCUAUAGAGGUAGAGAGGGGGGUGAGAAUGAUCUUCUCACAUUAUUUUUCCCUUUUAUUUUUUUUUCCCUGCUCAAUACUUCUUUGCAAUUUGCUUUAUUUUUCCUUCUUUUUGAGUAGACACUGGAUGAAGACUUAUAUCACAUUUUCCCCCUAUAUUGAACCCAAGUAAUGUCUUCCUUGAUUAGGAAACCUGUUAUGUUUCU
Sarcophilus harrisii (Tasmanian devil) is the source of this 685-nucleotide long non-coding RNA. RefSeq lists it as uncharacterized. The transcript is spliced from 3 exons. The record is from RefSeq and is a predicted model, not a curated record. Lineage: Eukaryota; Metazoa; Chordata; Mammalia; Dasyuromorphia; Dasyuridae.